This 250-nucleotide ribosomal RNA is filed under the name uncultured bacterium. Its description in RNAcentral is "partial 16S ribosomal RNA". It matches the Rfam family "Bacterial small subunit ribosomal RNA", at positions 524 to 773 of the family's 1533-position model. The record is from RNAcentral.
UACGUAGGGGGCAAGCGUUGUCCGGAAUCAUUGGGCGUAAAGAGCGUGUAGGCGGCCCGAUAAGUCCGCUGUGAAAGUCCAGGGCUCAACCCUGGAAUGCCGGUGGAUACUGUCGGGCUCGAAUCCGGAAGAGGUGAGUGGAAUUCCUGGUGUAGCGGUGAAAUGCGCAGAUAUCAGGAGGAACACCAAUGGCGAAGGCAGCUCACUGGGACGGUAUUGACGCUGAGACGCGAAAGCGUGGGGAGCAAAC